UACGUAGGGUGCAAGCGUUAAUCGGAAUUACUGGGCGUAAAGCGUGCGCAGGCGGUUUUGUAAGUUUGUCGUGAAAGCCCCGGGCUCAACCUGGGAAUUGCGAUGAAGACUGCAAGGCUUGAAUCUGGCAGAGGGGGGGUAGAAUUCCACGUGUAGCAGUGAAAUGCGUAGAGUAUGCGGAGGAACACCGAUGGCGAAGGCAAGCCUCCCGU
RNAcentral lists this ribosomal RNA (212 nucleotides) under uncultured bacterium. RNAcentral describes it as "partial 16S ribosomal RNA". It matches the Rfam family "Bacterial small subunit ribosomal RNA", at positions 524 to 732 of the family's 1533-position model. The record is from RNAcentral.